UACAGAGGUCUCAAGCGUUGUUCGGAUUCAUUGGGCGUAAAGGGUGCGUAGGUGGCGCCGUAAGUCAGGUGUGAAAUUUCGGAGCUUAACUUCGAAACUGCAUUUGAUACUGCGGUGCUUGAGGACUGGAGAGGGGACUGGAAUUUACGGUGUAGCAGUGAAAUGCGUAGAUAUCGUAAGGAAGACCAGUGGCGAAGGCGGGUCUCUGGACAGUUCCUGACGCUGAGGCACGAAGGCCAGGGGAGCAAACGGG
Molecule: ribosomal RNA, 253 nt
Filed under: uncultured bacterium
Lineage: Bacteria
Description: partial 16S ribosomal RNA
Rfam family: Bacterial small subunit ribosomal RNA
Source: RNAcentral